GAAGCCGGAAUUGCUAGUAAUGGCAGGUCAGCAUACUGCCGUGAAUACGUUCCCGGGCCUUGUACACACCGCCCGUCACACCAUGAGAGUUGGGAAUACCCGAAGCCUGUGAGCUAACGUAAGAGGCAGCAGUCGAAGGUAGAAUCAAUGAUUGGGGUGAAGUCGUAACAAGGUAGC
Molecule: ribosomal RNA, 177 nt
Filed under: uncultured bacterium
Lineage: Bacteria
Description: partial 16S ribosomal RNA
Rfam family: Bacterial small subunit ribosomal RNA
Source: RNAcentral